AGGGCAGUAGCUCAACUGGUAGAGCGGCGGUCUCCAAAACCGCAGGUUGGGGGUUCGAAACCCUCCUGCCCUGCCA
RNAcentral lists this transfer RNA (76 nucleotides) under Pandoraea sp. RNAcentral describes it as "tRNA-Trp". It matches the Rfam family "tRNA". Rfam says of the family: Transfer RNA (tRNA) molecules are approximately 80 nucleotides in length. Their secondary structure includes four short double-helical elements and three loops (D, anti-codon, and T loops). Further hydrogen bonds mediate the characteristic L-shaped molecular structure. tRNAs have two regions of fundamental functional importance: the anti-codon, which is responsible for specific mRNA codon recognition, and the 3' end, to which the tRNAs corresponding amino acid is attached (by aminoacyl-tRNA synthetases). tRNAs cope with the degeneracy of the genetic code in two manners: having more than one tRNA (with a specific anti-codon) for a particular amino acid; and 'wobble' base-pairing, i.e. permitting non-standard base-pairing at the 3rd anti-codon position. RNAcentral also lists the same sequence under 6 other names. Lineage: Bacteria; Pseudomonadati; Pseudomonadota; Betaproteobacteria; Burkholderiales; Burkholderiaceae. The record is from RNAcentral.